UAGACAUGUAUGCAAAAUGUGGAAGCAUUGAGAGGGCUGUGAAAGUGUUUCAAAUGGUUGACCAUAAAGAUUUGCUUUGUUACAGCACAAUGAUAGCAGCCUUUGCAAAUCACGGAUUAAGUGAAGAUGCCAUUUCUUUGUUUGGUGAGAUGCAAAAGGCAAACAUAAAACCUGAUAGAGUGACUUUUCUUGGGGUUUUGACUGCUUGUAACCAUGGGGGCCUUAUUUAUGAGGGCAGGAGGUUUUUCAAACAAAUGAUUGAUGAAUAUGGAAUUCAACCGUCAGAGAAGCACUAUGCUUGUUUUGUUGACAUUCUUGGUCGUGCCGGGUGCCUUGAAGAAGCACAUAGUAUCAUAUGCAGCAUGUCAAUUGUACCUAGUGCAGCCAUAUGGGGUGCUCUGCUUGCAGCUUGUAGGGUUCAUCACAAUGUUCUUUUGGCUGAAGUUGCAGCAGCUGAACUGUUCAAGAUUGAGCCACAUAAUUCUGGAAAUUAUGUUCUUUUAUGUAAUAUAUAUUCUGAUGCUGGACGAUGGGACGAUAUUGCUAAAGUGAGGACAAUGAUUAGGGAGAACCAAGUUAAAAAGAAUAGAGGUUCCAGCUGGAUUGAGUUGGGAUGUGUAGUCCAUGAGUUUUUCAUGGGAGAUAAUUCUCAUUUUGAUUCAGAAAACAUUUACUUUAUCUUGGACUUGCUCAGCAAAGAUAUGAAGCUUUUGGGAUAUAGUAUGGACUCCAAAAAGGAGGCACCACUACUACAGCAGUUUGCAAGAUAGUUGACCAGACUGAAAUGUAAUAGAGGGAACAAUUAAAAUUUUUCUACCAGCAUAGAUGAAGAUUCAAAUAAGGGUCAACCUUGGAGAAGCUGUGAGUUUGCUUCAUUGUAACAUGAGGGUCAUUGAUUAAAACUACAUGAACAACUUCCUUGUAUUGUAAGGUGAAUCUUUCCUGGUUUUACAACCCCGUAAGUGCACGGAUCGCUAACAAGUA
This 984-nucleotide unclassified non-coding RNA is filed under the name Hevea brasiliensis (rubber tree). The record is from RNAcentral. Lineage: Eukaryota; Viridiplantae; Streptophyta; Magnoliopsida; Malpighiales; Euphorbiaceae.